CGUCGUAGCUUUCGAAUUGGGGGAGCUUGAAGUUUGGCGGGAUCGGUUCCUGCAUGAUCAUUUGAGAGAAAGGAGGGUCAGUACAGAUGUCCUCACCAUAAGCAGGGGGAGCGUGGCGGAGCUCUUCGAUCCACCGGUUCAUCUCUUGGAGCCUUCGACCCAGGAGGUCCUCUCGACUGCGAGUCUCGAGGGUCUUUUGGUAGAGUGGAGGUAGGGAUCCUCCGGGAGUGAAAUCAUGAUCAGACUAAGGGCUCUCCACCCUCGGAUUCCCCUUUUCGGAGAAGACAGGGUGACUGGCCCAAGUGGCCCAUCCUACUGUCGGAUCUUGGAACUCCGACGAUGCUCUUUCCAACUGCACUGACACCUGCGGCUGUUGCUGCUGCAUGGCCUGCACUGCUUCGGUGAGGCCUCUGACCUGUUGAACCAGCAGGUCGAAUUGCUCCGUACCGACCGUC
Molecule: long non-coding RNA, 455 nt
Filed under: Elaeis guineensis (African oil palm)
Lineage: Eukaryota; Viridiplantae; Streptophyta; Magnoliopsida; Arecales; Arecaceae
Description: long non-coding RNA (EGUI_LNC051670)
Source: RNAcentral